GACGAACGCUGGCGGCGUGCUUAACACAUGCAAGUCGAACGGAAAGGCCCUGCUUUUGUGGGGUGCUCGAGUGGCGAACGGGUGAGUAACACGUGAGUAACCUGCCCUUGACUUUGGGAUAACUUCAGGAAACUGGGGCUAAUACCGGCUAGGAGCUCCUGCUGCAUGGUGGGGGUUGGAAAGUUUCGGCGGUUGGGGAUGGACUCGCGGCUUAUCAGCUUGUUGGUGGGGUAGUGGCUUACCAAGGCUUUGACGGGUAGCCGGCCUGAGAGGGUGACCGGCCACAUUGGGAGGGAGAUACGGCCCAGACUCCUACGGGAGGCAGCAGUGGGGAAUAUUGCACAAUGGGCGGAAGCCUGAUGCAGCAACGCCGCGUGCGGGAUGACGGCCUUCGGGUUGUAAACCGCUUUCGCCUGUGACGAAGCGUGAGUGACGGUAAUGGGUAAAGAAACACCGGCUAACUACGU
This 467-nucleotide ribosomal RNA is filed under the name uncultured bacterium. RNAcentral's name for it is "partial 16S ribosomal RNA". It matches the Rfam family "Bacterial small subunit ribosomal RNA", at positions 28 to 506 of the family's 1533-position model. The record is from RNAcentral.